This 385-nucleotide ribosomal RNA is filed under the name uncultured bacterium. Its description in RNAcentral is "bacterial SSU rRNA". It matches the Rfam family "Bacterial small subunit ribosomal RNA", at positions 29 to 430 of the family's 1533-position model. The record is from RNAcentral.
AAUGAACGUUGGCGGCGUGGAUUAGGCAUGCAAGUCGCGCGACAAGGAACCUUCGGGUUCUGGAGGAGCGGCAAACGGGGUAGUAAGGCAUCGGAACGUACCCUCUUGUUGGGAAUAGCCGCGGGAAACUGCGAGUAAUGCCCAAUAAUCCCUACGGGGCAAAGGUCCGCCGCAGGAGGAGCGGCCGAUGUGAUACCAGCUAGUUGGUGAGGUAAUGGCUCACCAAGGCUUAGACGUCUAGGGGGUGUGAGAGCAUGGCCCCCACCACUGGGACUGAGAUACUGCCCAGACUCCUACGGGAGGCAGCAGUGGGGGAAUUUUUGGACAAUGGGCGCAAGCCUGAUCCAGCCAUGCCGCGUGAGUGAAGAAGGCCUCGGUUGGUAAG